RNAcentral lists this ribosomal RNA (402 nucleotides) under uncultured Devosia sp. RNAcentral's name for it is "bacterial SSU rRNA". It matches the Rfam family "Bacterial small subunit ribosomal RNA", at positions 355 to 774 of the family's 1533-position model. Lineage: Bacteria; Pseudomonadati; Pseudomonadota; Alphaproteobacteria; Hyphomicrobiales; Devosiaceae. The record is from RNAcentral.
UGGGGAAUAUUGGACAAUGGGCGAAAGCCUGAUCCAGCCAUGCCGCGUGAGUGAUGAAGGCCUUAGGGUUGUAAAGCUCUUUCAGUAGGGAAGAUAAUGACGGUACCUACAGAAGAAGCCCCGGCUAACUUCGUGCCAGCAGCCGCGGUAAUACGAAGGGGGCUAGCGUUGUUCGGAUUUACUGGGCGUAAAGCGCACGUAGGCGGAUUGUUAAGUCAGAGGUGAAAUCCUGGAGCUCAACUCCAGAACUGCCUUUGAUACUGGCAAUCUAGAGUCCGGAAGAGGUAAGUGGAACUCCUAGUGUAGAGGUGGAAUUCGUAGAUAUUAGGAAGAACACCAGUGGCGAAGGCGGCUUACUGGUCCGGUACUGACGCUGAGGUGCGAAAGCGUGGGGAGCAAACA